AUUGAACGCUGGCGGCAUGCUUUACACAUUCAAGUCGAACGGCAGCACGGGGGCAACAUUGGUGGCGAGUGGCGAACGGGUGAGUAAUGCAUCGGAACGUGUCCUUAAGUGGGGGAUAACGCAUCGAAAGAUGCGCUAAUACCGCAUAAUCUCCGAGGAGAAAAGCAGGGGAUCGCAAGACCUUGCGCUUUUGGAGCGGCCGAUGUCUGAUUAGCUAGUUGGUGGGGUAAAGGCUUACCAAGGCUUCGAUCAGUAGCUGGUCUGAGAGGACGACCAGCCACACUGGGACUGAGACACGGCCCAGACUCCUACGGGAGGCAGCAGUGGGGAAUUUUGGACAAUGGGGGAAACCCUGAUCCAGCCAUUCCGCGUGAGUGAAGGAGGCCUUCGGGUUGUAAAGCUAUUUCAGCCGGAACGAAAAGGUCACGGCUAAUACCCGUGACGAAUGGCGGUACCGGAAGAAGAAGCACC
This 471-nucleotide ribosomal RNA is filed under the name uncultured ammonia-oxidizing bacterium. RNAcentral's name for it is "bacterial SSU rRNA". It matches the Rfam family "Bacterial small subunit ribosomal RNA", at positions 30 to 494 of the family's 1533-position model. The record is from RNAcentral.